UACGUAGGUGGCAAGCGUUGUCCGGAUUUAUUGGGUUUAAAGGGUGCGUAGGCGGUCAUAUAAGUCAGUGGUGAAAUACUUCAGCUCAACUGGAGAGGUGCCAUUGAUACUGUAUGACUUGAGUACAGACGAGGUAGGCGGAAUUGACGGUGUAGCGGUGAAAUGCUUAGAUAUCGUCAAGAACACCGAUAGCGAAGGCAGCUUACUAGACUGUAACUGACGCUGAUGCACGAAAGUGUGGGGAUCAAACAGGAUUAGAUACCCUGGUAGUCCACACUGUAAACGAUGAUUACUCGAUGUUGGCGAUACACAGCCAGCGUCUUAGCGAAAGCGAUAAGUAAUCCACCUGGGGAGUACGCCCGCAAGGGUG
Molecule: ribosomal RNA, 370 nt
Filed under: uncultured bacterium
Lineage: Bacteria
Description: bacterial SSU rRNA
Rfam family: Bacterial small subunit ribosomal RNA
Source: RNAcentral